This 1343-nucleotide ribosomal RNA is filed under the name uncultured bacterium. RNAcentral describes it as "16S ribosomal RNA". It matches the Rfam family "Bacterial small subunit ribosomal RNA", at positions 28 to 1378 of the family's 1533-position model. The record is from RNAcentral.
GACGAACGCUGGCGGCGUGCUUAACACAUGCAAGUCGAACGGAAAGGCCCUGCUUUUGUGGGGUGCUCGAGUAGCGAACGGGUGAGUAACACGUGAGUAACCUGCCCUUGACUUUGGGAUAACUUCAGGAAACUGGGGCUAAUACCGGAUAGGAGCUCCUGCUGCAUGGUGGGGGUUGGAAAGUUUCGGCGGUUGGGGAUGGACUCGCGGCUUAUCAGCUUGUUGGUGGGGUAGUGGCUUACCAAGGCUUUGACGGGUAGCCGGCCUGAGAGGGUGACCGGCCACAUUGGGACUGAGAUACGGCCCAGACUCCUACGGGAGGCAGCAGUGGGGAAUAUUGCACAAUGGGCGGAAGCCUGAUGCAGCAACGCCGCGUGCGGGAUGACGGCCUUCGGGUUGUAAACCGCUUUCGCCUGUGACGAAGCGUGAGUGACGGUAAUGGGUAAAGAAGCACCGGCUAAUUACGUGCCAGCAGCCGCGGUGAUACGUAGGGUGCGAGCGUUGUCCGGAUUUAUUGGGCGUAAAGGGCUCGUAGGUGGUUGAUCGCGUCGGAAGUGUAAUCUUGGGGCUUAACCCUGAGCGUGCUUUCGAUACGGGUUGACUUGAGGAAGGUAGGGGAGAAUGGAAUUCCUGGUGGAGCGGUGGAAUGCGCAGAUAUCAGGAGGAACACCAGUGGCGAAGGCGGUUCUCUGGGCCUUUCCUGACGCUGAGGAGCGAAAGCGUGGGGAGCGAACAGGCUUAGAUACCCUGGUAGUCCACGCUGUAAACGGUGGGUACUAGGUGUGGGGUCCAUUCCACGGGUUCCGUGCCGUAGCUAACGCUUUAAGUACCCCGCCUGGGGAGUACGGCCGCAAGGCUAAAACUCAAAGGAAUUGACGGGGCCCCGCACAAGCGGCGGAGCAUGCGGAUUAAUUCGAUGCAACGCGUAGAACCUUACCUGGGUUUGACAUGGAUCGGGAGUGCUCAGAGAUGGGUGUGCCUCUUUUGGGGUCGGUUCACAGGUGGUGCAUGGCUGUCGUCAGCUCGUGUCGUGAGAUGUUGGGUUAAGUCCCGCAACGAGCGCAACCCUUGUUCACUGUUGCCAGCACGUUAUGGUGGGGACUCAGUGGAGACCGCCGGGGUCAACUCGGAGGAAGGUGGGGAUGACGUCAAGUCAUCAUGCCCCUUAUGUCCAGGGCUUCACGCAUGCUACAAUGGCUGGUACAGAGAGUGGCGAGCCUGUGAGGGUGAGCGUAUCUCGGAAAGCCGGUCUCAGUUCGGAUUGGGGUCUGCAACUCGACCUCAUGAAGUCGGAGUCGCUAGUAAUCGCAGAUCAGCAACGCUGCGGUGAAUACGUUCCCGGG